Non-coding RNA from Pangasius djambal, 72 nucleotides. NCBI's taxonomy places the organism in Eukaryota, Metazoa, Chordata, Actinopteri, Siluriformes, Pangasiidae. The record is from the annotation of a GenBank genome assembly.
UCCCUGGAGGACUAGUGGUUAGGCCGCAGUGCUCUCGCCGCUGCUGCCCAGGAUCAAUUCCAGGCCAGGGAA